This 309-nucleotide ribosomal RNA is filed under the name uncultured bacterium. RNAcentral's name for it is "partial 16S ribosomal RNA". It matches the Rfam family "Bacterial small subunit ribosomal RNA", at positions 639 to 945 of the family's 1533-position model. The record is from RNAcentral.
GACUWGAGUUCGGRAGGGGAGACUGGAAUUCCUGGUGUAGCGGUGAAAUGCGCAGAUAUCAGGAGGAACACCGGUGGCGAAGGCGGNURURUGGGCCGUUACUGACGCUGAGGAGCGAAAGCGUGGGGAGCNAACAGGAUUAGAUACCCUGGUAGUCCKCNCCGUAAACGUUGGGCNCUAGGUGUGGGNNUCAUUCCACGGNWUCCGUGCCGUAGCUAACGCAUUAAGRGCCCCGCCUGGGGAGUACGGCCGCAAGGCUAAAACUCAAAGGAAUUGACGGGGGCCCGCACAAGCGGCGGAGCAUGUGGA